RNAcentral lists this long non-coding RNA (201 nucleotides) under Elaeis guineensis (African oil palm). Its description in RNAcentral is "long non-coding RNA (EGUI_LNC027738)". The record is from RNAcentral. Lineage: Eukaryota; Viridiplantae; Streptophyta; Magnoliopsida; Arecales; Arecaceae.
AAACUGUCCGACAGUCAACGGAUAAGAUCUCUUUAUGAGGAUCUAUCAGGACUAUUAGAGGAUCUCUCUAAAAUCUAAAAAAUCUCAAAAGAGACAUAAUCCAAAAAGAGACACUUUUAGAGAGAGAAAAUGCUAUUUUUUUAGAGAGAAAAAAUCAUACUUUCUAGAAAGAGAAAGUAGGGAUUCAAAUUUAGAGCAAGG